This 229-nucleotide ribosomal RNA is filed under the name uncultured bacterium. RNAcentral's name for it is "partial 16S ribosomal RNA". It matches the Rfam family "Bacterial small subunit ribosomal RNA", at positions 568 to 796 of the family's 1533-position model. The record is from RNAcentral.
UACGUAGGCGGAAAAUUAAGUCAGUAGUGAAAUCCUGCAGCUUAACUGUAGAACUGUUAUUGAUACUGGUUUUCUUGAAUAUAGUUGGGGUAGGCGGAAUGUGUAAUGUAGCGGUGAAAUGCUUAGAUAUUACACAGAACACCGAUUGCGAAGGCAGCUUACUAAGCUAUGAUUGACGCUGAGGUACGAAAGCGUGGGGAGCGAACAGGAUUAGAUACCCUGGUAGUCC